GACGAACGCUGGCGGCGUGCCUAAUACAUGCAAGUAGAACGCCGAAGGAGGAGCUUGCUUCUCGAGAUGAGUUGCGAACGGGUGAGUAACGCGUAGGUAUCCUGCCUGGUAGCGGGGGAUAACUAGUGGAAACGAUAGCUAAUACCGCAUAAUAGUAGAUGAUGCAUGACAUUCGCUUAAAAGGUGCAAUUGCAUCUGUACCAGAUCGACUUGCGUUGUAUUAGGUAGUUGGUGGGGUUACGGCUCACCAAGGCGACGAUACAUAGCCGACCUGCGAGGGUGAUCCGCCACACCGGGACUGAGACACGGCCCAGGCUCCUACGGGAGGCAGCAGGAGGGAAACUUCGGCAAUGGACGGAAGUCUGACCGAGCCACGCCGCGUGAGUGAAGAAGGUCCUCGGAUCGUAAAGCUCGGUUGUAAGAGAAGAACGAGUGUGGGAGUGGAAAGUUCACACUGUGACGGUAUCUGAACAGAAAGGGACGGCUAACUACGUG
RNAcentral lists this ribosomal RNA (495 nucleotides) under uncultured bacterium. RNAcentral's name for it is "partial 16S ribosomal RNA". It matches the Rfam family "Bacterial small subunit ribosomal RNA", at positions 28 to 507 of the family's 1533-position model. The record is from RNAcentral.